UACGAGGGGUGCGAGCGUUGCUCGGAAUUAUUGGGCGUAAAGGGUAGGUAGGUGGUCUCAUUUGUCCGGGGUGAAAGCCUUGAGCUUAACUCAAGAAGUGCCUCGGAAACGGUGAGACUCGAGUCCUGGAGAGGGUCGUGGAAUUCCCGGUGUAGCGGUGAAAUGCGUAGAGAUCGGGAGGAACACCAGAGGCGAAGGCGGCGACCUGGACAGGCACUGACACUCAACUACGAAAGCGUGGGGAGCAAACAGG
Molecule: ribosomal RNA, 253 nt
Filed under: uncultured bacterium
Lineage: Bacteria
Description: partial 16S ribosomal RNA
Rfam family: Bacterial small subunit ribosomal RNA
Source: RNAcentral